UCCCUGGAGGACUAGUGGUUAGGCCUUGGCGCUCUCACCGCCAUGGCGCAGGUUCGAUUCCCAGCCAGGGAA
This 72-nucleotide transfer RNA is filed under the name Pangasius djambal. Its description in RNAcentral is "tRNA-Glu". It matches the Rfam family "tRNA". Rfam says of the family: Transfer RNA (tRNA) molecules are approximately 80 nucleotides in length. Their secondary structure includes four short double-helical elements and three loops (D, anti-codon, and T loops). Further hydrogen bonds mediate the characteristic L-shaped molecular structure. tRNAs have two regions of fundamental functional importance: the anti-codon, which is responsible for specific mRNA codon recognition, and the 3' end, to which the tRNAs corresponding amino acid is attached (by aminoacyl-tRNA synthetases). tRNAs cope with the degeneracy of the genetic code in two manners: having more than one tRNA (with a specific anti-codon) for a particular amino acid; and 'wobble' base-pairing, i.e. permitting non-standard base-pairing at the 3rd anti-codon position. The record is from RNAcentral. Lineage: Eukaryota; Metazoa; Chordata; Actinopteri; Siluriformes; Pangasiidae.